RNAcentral lists this long non-coding RNA (1432 nucleotides) under Coturnix japonica (Japanese quail). RNAcentral describes it as "lncRNA (ENSCJPG00005002651.1)". Lineage: Eukaryota; Metazoa; Chordata; Aves; Galliformes; Phasianidae. The record is from RNAcentral.
AUGAAGAUGAAGGCCGUGAUGAGGAUGAGGAGGAUGGUGAAGAUGAAGAUGAUGAUGAUGAAGAUGAUGAUGAUGAAGAUGAUGAUGAUGAUGAUGAUGAUGAUGAUAAUGAAGGCCAUGAUGAAUACAACACAAUGGAGCCAGAAUAGGCUUCCCAUUGAGGCCUAUGAUCAAUCCCAUCACCCUGAGGCCUUCCUCCCCGCGCUCCUCCUCCUCCCUUCCUUCCUCCCCCCCAUAAAGAAGCCCUCAGGUUGUUUUUCCAAUCAGCUGCCGGCUGCGUCUUUAAUGAGCGCGCCUUACCGAAGGCGACGCCUCUUAACGAAGCACGACGAGACCAAUGGCUCCCAAUGGGAGAACACAGCAAUAGCACGACCCCAUGGGAACUCCUGGGGGUCCUGGGGGUCCGGCGGGGGGUCCUGGGGGGGGUCUUGAUGGGUUUCUGGGGGGUCCUGAGGGGUCCCUGGGGUCCUGGGGGGUCUUGAUUGGGUCUGGGGGUCCCUGAGGGGUCCCAGAGGGUCCUGGGGGGAUCCUGGGGGGUCGCCAAGGGGUCCUGGGGGUCCUGGGGGGUCCUGAGGGGUCCCAGAGGGUCCUAUGGGGGUCCUGAGGGGCUCCCAAGGGGGUCCUGGGGGGUCCUGGGGGGGUCUUGGGGAGUCCCAAGAGGAUCCUGGGGGGGCCUGGGGGGGUCUUGAGGGGUCCAGAGGGUCCUGGGGGAGGAUCCUGGGGGGUCCCAGGGGGUCCUGGAGGGUCUUGAUUGGUUUCUGGGGGUCCUGGGGGGUCCCUGAAGGGUCCUAUGUUGGGUCCUGAGGGGUCCCAGGGGGCCUGGGGGGGUUUAAUGGGGGGGUCGAGGGGUCCCAAGAGGAUCCUGGGGGGCCUUGGGGUUCCAGGGGGUCCUGGGGGUCUUGAUGGGUUCUGGGGGGUCCUGGGGCGGUCCUGAGGGUCCAGAGGGUACUGGGGGGGCUAUGGGGGGUCCCAGAGGGUCCUGGGGGGGUCUUGAUGGGUUUCUGAGGGAUCCUGGGGGGUCCCAGGGGGUCCUGGGGGGUCCUGAGGGGUACCCUGGGGGUUCCUGGGGGGGGUCUUGAUGGGUUUCUGGGGGUCUGGGGGGUCCUGAGGGUCCCCAGAGGUCCCAGAGGGUCCUGGGGGUAUGGGGGGUCUUCAGUUCCAGGGGUGUCCCAAGAGUCUGGGGGGUUUCUUGAGGAGUCCAUGGGGGUCCUGAGGGUCCUGGGGGGUCUUGAGGAGUCCAUGGGGGUCCUGGAGUGUCUUGGUGGUCCGUGGGGGUCCAUUGGGGUCCUGGAUUGGUCCUUGAGGACUCCAAAGGGGGUCCGGGGGUCCUGGGGGUCCAGGGGUCAAGGGGGGUCUUGAGAGUCCUGGGGUCCUCUGGGGUGUCCGCAUAGAGUCCAGGGGGGCUAAAGGGGUCCAGGGGGUCUUGGGUGUU